RNAcentral lists this ribosomal RNA (460 nucleotides) under uncultured bacterium. RNAcentral describes it as "partial 16S ribosomal RNA". It matches the Rfam family "Bacterial small subunit ribosomal RNA", at positions 338 to 795 of the family's 1533-position model. The record is from RNAcentral.
CCUACGGGAGGCAGCAGUGAGGAAUAUUGGUCAAUGGACGAGAGUCUGAACCAGCCAAGUAGCGUGAAGGAUGACUGCUCUAUGGGUUGUAAACUUCUUUUAUAUGGGAAUAAAAUGUUCCACGUGUGGGAUUUUGUAUGUAUCAUAUGAAUAAGGAUCGCCUAACUCCGUGCCAGCAGCCGCGGUAAUACGGAGGAUCCGAGCGUUAUCCGGAUUUAUUGGGUGUAAAGGGAGCGUAGGGGGAUUGGGAAGGCAGUUGUGAAAGUUUGCGGCUCAACCGUAAAAUUGCAGUGGAAACUGGCAGUCUUGAGUACAGUAGAGGUGAGCGGAAUUCGUGGUGUAGCGGUGAAAUGCUGAGAUAUCACGAAGAACUCCGAUUGCGAAGGCAGUUCACUGGACUGCAACUGACACUGAGGCUCGAAAGUGUGGGUAUCAAACAGGAUUAGAUACCCGAGUAGUC